Molecule: long non-coding RNA, 412 nt
Organism: Malaya genurostris
Lineage: Eukaryota; Metazoa; Arthropoda; Insecta; Diptera; Culicidae
Exons: 2
Source: RefSeq, a predicted model, not a curated record
AACUAUAGCCAUAUUAAUUGUCAUCGGUUAUAUUGUAAUACAAAUCAAUCCGACCAAGAAGUACUUAACUUUGAAAUGUUUCGACUAGAAAUUAAACAGUUUUUCAAAUGGAUUCUAAUUGGGACUAUCGUUGCAUCACAACUGAUCGCAAUGACAGUGGCAAAUCUGGCUCCCAAAACUGAGUCUUUGGAAGUAUGUGGAGCACCCGGUCAUGAAAUACCUUGCCUCUGUGAGGGGGAAGGCGCAGAUAUGGAGUGUCACCCAAUAGAGUAGAAAUAAAAUCAGUAAGCGGAAAUAUUGUGAAAAAGUGACCCCGAAUGAGAAGAAGUGAAAAGAUCUUUUGUUGGUUUAUACUGUUUAUAAGUUUUAUGUUUGUUUAUUAAUUACAGAAGUUCAUGUCAAUACUGCAAAA